GAUGAACGCUAGCUACAGGCUUAACACAUGCAAGUCGAGGGGAAACGACAUCGAAAGCUUGCUUUUGAUGGGCGUCGACCGGCGCACGGGUGAGUAACGCGUAUCCACCCUGCCCACCACUUGGGGAUAACCUUGCGAAAGUAAGACUAAUACCCAAUGAUAUCUCUAGAAGACAUCCGAAGGAGAUUAAAGAUUUAACGGUGAUGGAUGGGGAUGCGUCUGAUUAGCUGUUUGGUGAGGUAACGGCCCACCAAGGCGACGAUCAGUAGGGGUUCUGAGAGGAAGGUCCCCCACAUUGGAACUGAGACACGGUCCAAACUCCUACGGGAGGCAGCAGUGAGGAAUAUUGGUCAAUGGGCGAGAGCCUGAACCAGCCAAGUAGCGUGCAGGAUGACGGCCCUAUGGGUUGUAAACUGCUUUUAUAAGGGAAUAAAGUGAGUCUCGUGAGACUUUUUGCAUGUACCUUAUGAAUAAGGACCGGCUAAUUCCGUGCCAGCCGCCGCGGUAA
RNAcentral lists this ribosomal RNA (508 nucleotides) under uncultured bacterium. RNAcentral describes it as "partial 16S ribosomal RNA". It matches the Rfam family "Bacterial small subunit ribosomal RNA", at positions 28 to 523 of the family's 1533-position model. The record is from RNAcentral.